Homo sapiens (human) is the source of this 1478-nucleotide long non-coding RNA. Lineage: Eukaryota; Metazoa; Chordata; Mammalia; Primates; Hominidae. The record is from Ensembl.
ACGCUCCCGGGUAGGAAAUUGCCCCGGUGGAAUGCCUUGCCAGAGCAGCGCAUAGCAGGCCCCUGCAGAGGAUUAACACGGUGGCUGAACACCGGAAAGAACUGGCACUUGGAGUCGCGACAUCUGAAACUUGCUAUAUGGAGGAAGCAGCAGAGAAGGGCAAAUUUUAAAAAGUGGAAGAAAACUGGUAUGCAUAUUUUCAACCAAGUGAAAACGUCAAGGAGGUUAAAGUAAUCAACUGGGUCAAAUGCUGCUGAGAGGUCAAAUAAGUCCUCAAGAAUAACUGUAGAAUGUGCUGGGAGUGCAACAUCCUAAAAUAAGGAGGAAGUGGCUGAAACAGCCUGGGCUGUAUUCCUGUCUCCAUCUAGCACAAGAUGUCCUUCAACCCUUUAGCCCAGCGUGCAAGUACUACCAGAACGUUUGGGGUCAGAAAUCGGAUAUCUACACUUCCCCGUCUCCCAAAAGAGCUUCCCUCCUUAGGCGUCCGGAGGUCUCUUGGAUUUUUCACUGCUAAUCCCAUCUGUCUUCACUAGACUCACUUCCCACAACUUGCUCCAGGAGGGGCCUAUGUGGACACUGAAGGCGACUGGGGCGGUUCCUCUUCUGAUGUAGUUAGCUCUCAGUUAGCUCACCGCCCAGUUCUCCUUGAUCUCUCCGGGCUGGACCGCCUCGUAAGCAGGAGGAGCAUAGAAGGAGGCGGGCUCCACAAGCUUGAUCUUCUGAAUCCCCUUGUCUCUGUAAACUUCCCCUGGAAGAAGCGAUGCACUGGCGAAGCCAUGUGAGGGGGGCUUUUGGUUCCAGAGAGACAGCCCGAGAGCCCCAGUGGGAACCAUCCGGAGACCCAGAAGAUCGAAUUCGCGGGACGGCGCGUUACCUUCCAACACCGCUGGGCCACCACUCUGAGAACCAGAAUCAGCGGUACUGGGGCUUCCCCACGGGACAGGAGCGCGUUCUUUGGAUUCCCCUGGUGCGGCGUGCACAACCUUCGGACGAAGAGUCCACGCCUGCCACCCAGGAGGAGGCCCAGGCGCAGGCAGGAGUGGCGGCCGCAGCCUCGUCGGAGGAGCCCGGUCACUGCGCUCCGCGGCCGCCACACGCGCCGCGAUCGGCCCUCUUCGAAGACUGGUCGCGGGAACCAGAGAGGUCUGACGAUGGGGACCUCUCGGAGUGUCGUCGCCCUGCUACUGAGCCUUGGCGGCCACCGGGCUCAGCCUGGAGGCUUCCUUGUGCAGCAUAGGCCGCCUGUCCGCCAAGAAGACCGCAGCCUGCCUGGGACGGCCGCCCUGGGCGCUCAGAAGCCAGGAGAUGUCCAACGAGGCCCUUGGGUUCCUGAUCCUCUGCCCAAGAACUGGGUUUCCGUAAUGCCUCUGCUCUGUUCCCAUGCCACUCAGGAGGCUGUGGCUGAGCAGCGCUUCGGACACAUUAUUCUCUUUAGUCUGUUCUCGGAAUAAAAUCCAACGCCAAGGCAAAAGUCUGCA